GGAAUAUUGCACAAUGGGCGAAAGCCUGAUGCAGCAACGCCGCGUGAGGGAUGACGGCCUUCGGGUUGUAAACCUCUUUUAGUAGGGAAGAAGCGAAAGUGACGGUACCUGCAGAAGAAGCGCCGGCUAACUACGUGCCAGCAGCCGCGGUAAUACGUAGGGCGCAAGCGUUAUCCGGAAUUAUUGGGCGUAAAGAGCUCGUAGGCGGUUUGUCGCGUCUGCCGUGAAAGUCCGGGGCUCAACUCCGGAUCUGCGGUGGGUACGGGCAGACUAGAGUGAUGUAGGGGAGACUGGAAUUCCUGGUGUAGCGGUGAAAUGCGUAGAUAUCUGGAGGAAUACCGGUGGCGAAGGCGGCAUCCUGGACCGACAUUGACGCUGAGGAGCGAAAGCUAGGGGAGCAAAC
Molecule: ribosomal RNA, 403 nt
Filed under: uncultured bacterium
Lineage: Bacteria
Description: bacterial SSU rRNA
Rfam family: Bacterial small subunit ribosomal RNA
Source: RNAcentral